Molecule: ribosomal RNA, 1179 nt
Filed under: Triticum aestivum (bread wheat)
Lineage: Eukaryota; Viridiplantae; Streptophyta; Magnoliopsida; Poales; Poaceae
Description: partial small subunit ribosomal RNA
Source: RNAcentral
AUGGCUGAACUGUUAAACCGUUCCCGGGGCUUGGCAGAAGGAGUGGUCGUUAUGAUAUGCCCGGUGCUUCUCGCACUGGCUCUCAACUUAGUCGACCUCAAUGGCGAGGUGUACGGACAUGGUGUCCCUAUACCAUUGAUCACCAUGGCCGGCUUUACUUUGAUAACUGGCAUCUGCCCCUUGCUCGCGUGCUGCUUCUUUGAGCGAUUCCUUGGCCUGGGCGUAAGUCCUAUCCCUGUAACGACGAGUCUGGCAACCCUUUCGUCUUGUUGCCUCGUCGUCCUCGCCUGCUUGAUUGCACAGUUCAUUAUCUCCAAAUCCAUUUUUGUCACUGUUGGCGUCAUAUGUGGAAUCUUGGUCUUGGUUCGGACCGUCUGCUACUACGUGCACGACACACGGAAUGACGAUGGUCGGGAAUACACAACGGACAUGCACAGUGUACUGGAUGAAUCACAUGAGUUCUUGACCAGUGUCACUGGAAUUCUUUUUCUGGGGUUCGAAGGUCUGGCCCUCAAUGGUCACGGUCAGACGGGUCGCAAGGGCGAGGAAUUAGUGGGCUACAUCAGUUUCAUCGUCUGCACUUUUGGAGUGUGCUUAAUGUUCCUCGAGAUGACCCCACCUCCAUGUUUUGCGGUACAUAGGCAUGGUAGCCAAGAAGAAAGAAGUGAGGGAGAGCAACAAAUUGUGUGUUUGACUCUCGUCCUAGACUGCAUCAUGGCGGUUGGUAUCUUCGUACUAUUGCUGGUCGUCAUGCUUAAGCUCACACCGCUUGAGUUUGCCCUGUGGGUCUUGCUGCCUCCGGCUGUAAGCUUCGGUCAACUCCCGGUCCUGGUUGCAUUGAAGGGAAACACACAAGAUGAACAAGAAUCAAGGCCGGCGUCGCUGGAACUGACAAAGGCCACCUUCACUGGAUUCUUGGCCGUGUCGGUAUCAGCCAUAAGCAAUGCUUCACCCAGCAAGUUGACCAGAUUUUUUCUACUAUUAUCUUCCAUGGCUAUUGGGUUUGGUCUCUCAUGGAGGCUCCUAUCUCAGAUUAACAUAAGGAGUGGUCUCGCCGGUUGUGUUUCAUCUGCACAUGUUGCUUCCGCUGCCAAGCUUGCUUCCUUCUGCGCUCAUUUAUGCAUUGUAAUCGCUACAGUUCUAUUUGUAGUAAUGGCUGGUAAAGCAAGUGGGAAAUGA